This 452-nucleotide ribosomal RNA is filed under the name uncultured bacterium. RNAcentral's name for it is "bacterial SSU rRNA". It matches the Rfam family "Bacterial small subunit ribosomal RNA", at positions 340 to 786 of the family's 1533-position model. The record is from RNAcentral.
UACGGAAGGCAGCAGUGGGGAAUAUUGCACAAUGGGCGCAAGCCUGAUGCAGCCAUGCCGCGUGUAUGAAAAAGGCCUUCGGGUUGUAAAGUACUUUCAGUCGUGAGGAAGGUGUUAAGGUUAAUAACCUUAGCAAUUGACGUUAGCGACAGAAGAAGCACCGGCUAACUCCGUGCCAGUAGCCGCGGUAAUACGGAGGGUGCGAGCGUUAAUCGGAAUUACUGGGCGUAAAGGGCACGCAGGCGGUUAAUUAAGUUGGAUGUGAAAUCCCCGGGCUUAACCUGGGAAUGGCAUUCAAGACUGGUUAGCUAGAGUCUUGUAGAGGGGGUAGAAUUCCAUGUGUAGCGGUGAAAUGCGUAGAGAUGUGGAGGAAUACCGGUGGCGAAGGCGGCCCCUGGACAAAGACUGACGCUCAUGUGCGAAAGCUGGGGAGCAAACAGGGAUUAGAUACC